RNAcentral lists this ribosomal RNA (460 nucleotides) under uncultured bacterium. RNAcentral's name for it is "partial 16S ribosomal RNA". It matches the Rfam family "Bacterial small subunit ribosomal RNA", at positions 338 to 795 of the family's 1533-position model. The record is from RNAcentral.
CCUACGGGAGGCAGCAGUGAGGAAUAUUGGUCAAUGGGCGGGAGCCUGAACCAGCCAAGUCGCGUGAGGGAAGACGGUCCUAUGGAUUGUAAACCUCUUUAGGCGGGGAGCAAUGCCGGGCACGCGUGCCCGGAGGGAGAGUACCCGCAGAAUAAGCAUCGGCUAACUCCGGGCCAGCAGCCGCGGUAAUACGGGGGAUGCGAGCGUUAUCCGGAUUUAGUGGGUUUAGAGGGUGCGUAGGCGGAUUUUUAAGUGAGCGGUAAAAUGUCCGGGCUCAACCCGGGCCGGCCGUUGAUACUGGGGAUCUUGAGUGGGCGAGAAGUAUGCGGAAUGCGUGGUGUAGCGGUGAAAUGCAUAGAUAUCACGCAGAACUCCGAUUGCGAAGGCAGCAUACCGGCGCCCGACUGACGCUGAGGCACGAAAGCGUGGGGAUCGAACAGGAUUAGAUACCCUUGUAGUC